This 335-nucleotide ribosomal RNA is filed under the name uncultured soil bacterium. RNAcentral describes it as "bacterial SSU rRNA". It matches the Rfam family "Bacterial small subunit ribosomal RNA", at positions 26 to 371 of the family's 1533-position model. The record is from RNAcentral.
AGGAUGAACGCUGGCGGAAUGCCUAAUACAUGCAAGUCGAGCGGCAGCGCGAGUAGUUUACUACUUGGCGGCGAGCGGCGGACGGCUGAGUAACGCGUGGGAACGUGCCCCAAAGUGAGGAAUGACUGCCCGAAAGGGUAGCUAAUGCCGCAUAUGAUCUUCGGAUUAAAGGAUUUAUCCGCUUUGGGAGCGGCCCGCGUACGAUUAGAUAGUUGGUGAGGUAAAGGCUCACCAAGUCGACGAUCGUUAACUGAUCUGAGAGGAUGAUCAGUCAGACUGGAACUGAGACACGGUCCAGACUCCGUACGGGAGCAGCAGUAAGGAAUCUUCCACAA